This 387-nucleotide unclassified non-coding RNA is filed under the name soil metagenome. RNAcentral's name for it is "partial contains 5.8S ribosomal RNA, internal transcribed spacer 2, and large subunit ribosomal RNA". The stretch from base 1 to 120 matches the Rfam family "5.8S ribosomal RNA", at positions 35 to 154 of the family's 154-position model. The record is from RNAcentral.
GAUGAAGAACGUAGCGAAAUGCGAUAAGUAAUGUGAAUUGCAGAAUUCAGUGAAUCAUCGAAUCUUUGAACGCACCUUGCACCCUUUGGCAUUCCGAAGGGUAUGCUCGUUUGAGUGUCAUUGUACUCUCACACUCUCUGAUCCUUUGGAUUCAGGGAGCGGUGGACUUGGGUGUUUGCUGCUUUCCUUGUGGCUCACCUGAAAUGCGUUAGUGCACCUCUUGGUUGGACAUAGAACGGCGUGAUAAGUGUCUUCGCCGGCACCUCGCAAGAGGGUGGCCAAUUGGGAGCUCUGUGCUUUCAAACCGUCUUCGGACAAUCUCUGACAACUUGACCUCAAAUCGAGUAGGACUACCCGCUGAACUUAAGCAUAUCAAUAAGCGGAGGA